RNAcentral lists this ribosomal RNA (773 nucleotides) under Arthrobacter sp. MJ515. Its description in RNAcentral is "bacterial SSU rRNA". It matches the Rfam family "Bacterial small subunit ribosomal RNA", at positions 82 to 866 of the family's 1533-position model. Lineage: Bacteria; Bacillati; Actinomycetota; Actinomycetes; Micrococcales; Micrococcaceae. The record is from RNAcentral.
GCUGGGGGGAUUAGUGGCGAACGGGUGAGUAACACGUGAGUAACCUGCCCUUAACUCUGGGAUAAGCCUGGGAAACUGGGUCUAAUACCGGAUAUGACUGAUCAUCGCAUGGUGGUUGGUGGAAAGCUUUUUGUGGUUUUGGAUGGACUCGCGGCCUAUCAGCUUGUUGGUGAGGUAAUGGCUUACCAAGGCGACGACGGGUAGCCGGCCUGAGAGGGUGACCGGCCACACUGGGACUGAGACACGGCCCAGACUCCUACGGGAGGCAGCAGUGGGGAAUAUUGCACAAUGGGCGCAAGCCUGAUGCAGCGACGCCGCGUGAGGGAUGACGGCCUUCGGGUUGUAAACCUCUUUCAGUAGGGAAGAAGCGAAAGUGACGGUACCUGCAGAAGAAGCGCCGGCUAACUACGUGCCAGCAGCCGCGGUAAUACGUAGGGCGCAAGCGUUAUCCGGAAUUAUUGGGCGUAAAGAGCUCGUAGGCGGUUUGUCGCGUCUGCCGUGAAAGUCCGGGGCUCAACUCCGGAUCUGCGGUGGGUACGGGCAGACUAGAGUGAUGUAGGGGAGACUGGAAUUCCUGGUGUAGCGGUGAAAUGCGCAGAUAUCAGGAGGAACACCGAUGGCGAAGGCAGGUCUCUGGGCAUUAACUGACGCUGAGGAGCGAAAGCAUGGGGAGCGAACAGGAUUAGAUACCCUGGUAGUCCAUGCCGUAAACGUUGGGCACUAGGUGUGGGGGACAUUCCACGUUUUCCGCGCCGUAGCUAACGCAUUAAGUG